CAAUAGCGUAUAUUAAAGUUGUUGCAGUUAAAAAGCUCGUAGUUGGAUUUUGUGGGUGUCUCCUGGUUUGGUCCGCUGCCUUUGGGUGGCGAGUACUACCGGGGCGCCUUCAUUAUGGUCGUAGGUGUGGCGAGUGGUGCUUAACUGUACGGCUCGCUGCGUUCAACCUGUGGCCCGUUUACUUUGAACAAAACGGAGUGUCUAAAGCAAGCAAUGACUGCUUUCUGAACGUAUUAGCAUGGAAUAAUAGAAUAGGACUUUGGUUGUAUUUUGUUGGUUUUGCAGCCGAGGUAAUGAUUAAUAGGGAUAGUUGGGGGCAUUUAUAUUCCGAUGUCAGAGGUGAAAUUCUUGGAUUUUCGGAAGAUAAACUUCUGCGAAAGCAUUUGCCAAGGAUGUUUUCAUUAA
RNAcentral lists this ribosomal RNA (405 nucleotides) under uncultured eukaryote. Its description in RNAcentral is "partial 18S ribosomal RNA". It matches the Rfam family "Eukaryotic small subunit ribosomal RNA", at positions 592 to 976 of the family's 1831-position model. The record is from RNAcentral.